Molecule: small nucleolar RNA, 138 nt
Organism: Ornithorhynchus anatinus (platypus)
Lineage: Eukaryota; Metazoa; Chordata; Mammalia; Monotremata; Ornithorhynchidae
Source: RefSeq, a predicted model, not a curated record
CCCCUCUCAGUAUCGCUCUUGGAGAGUUUCCAGUACUCUACCAGUCUCGGCUAUGGGAGGGAGAGUCAGGCAGAGGCCUGUCCAUUCCAUUCCUAGCUUGGCCAGUGGCUUGCAAGUGGAAGGCAAUCUAUUACAAGU